AUUGAACGCUGGCGGCAGGCCUAACACAUGCAAGUCGAGCGGUAGAGAGGUGCUUGCAUCUCUUGAGAGCGGCGGACGGGUGAGUAAUGCCUAGGAAUCUGCCCUAGUGGUGGGGGAUAACGUUCGGAAACGGACGCUAAUACCGCAUACGUCCUACGGGAGAAAGCGGGGGAUCUUCGGACCUCGCGCCAUUAGAUGAGCCUAGGUCGGAUUAGCUAGUUGGUGAGGUAAUGGCCUCACCAAGGCGACGACUACCGU
This 258-nucleotide ribosomal RNA is filed under the name uncultured bacterium. RNAcentral's name for it is "partial 16S ribosomal RNA". It matches the Rfam family "Bacterial small subunit ribosomal RNA", at positions 30 to 284 of the family's 1533-position model. The record is from RNAcentral.